RNAcentral lists this ribosomal RNA (387 nucleotides) under uncultured bacterium. Its description in RNAcentral is "bacterial SSU rRNA". It matches the Rfam family "Bacterial small subunit ribosomal RNA", at positions 28 to 416 of the family's 1533-position model. The record is from RNAcentral.
GACGAACGCUGGCGGCGUGCUUAACACAUGCAAGUCGAGCGGUAAGGCCCUUUCGGGGGUACACGAGCGGCGAACGGGUGAGUAACACGUGGGUGACCUGCCCUCAGCUCUGGGAUAAGCCUGGGAAACCGGGUCUAAUACUGGAUAUGACUCCAUGACGCAUGUUGUGGGGUGGAAAGCCUUGUGCGGCUGAGGAUGGGCCCGCGGCCUAUCAGCUUGUUGGUGGGGUGANGGCCUACCAAGGCGACGACGGGUAGCCGGCCUGAGAGGGCGGCCGGCCACACUGGGACUGAGACACGGCCCAGACUCCUACGGGAGGCAGCAGUGGGGAAUCUUGCGCAAUGGGCGAAAGCCUGACGCAGCGACGCCGCGUGAGGGAUGACGGCC